UAUAUAGCCAUUUAAUCUGAAAUUGGUGAAGUAAACAGGGUAAUUAUCCUUCUGUGUUUCAGUUCAUGAUGAAGCGGAUAGAGGAAGUGGACAUGGAUGCCCUUUCCCCAUCCCCAGAAUGCUCUGCUGAGCUGCUGCAGAGACUCACACUCUCAAUCCCUGAGGUAAUGCACACCCUGCGGAGUGCAGAGAGUGUGUGCGAGGAGCUUCAGGUGAGCGUGUCUGGGCUGGACAGCCGACUGGCAGAGCUGCAACACUGGGAAUGUGAGGCCAAGGAGCUGUACCAUCUCCUGCGGGAAGAAGAGCACAGGCAGAGUCAAACUCAGGAUCCAAGGGUUAGGGAGCUGAUCUCCCAAGCCCUGCAGUUGGAGGGCCAAGUGGUGACUGAGGAGCAGGACCUGCAGGUUAUGGUGAUGACAGCACAGAAGAGUUCACCACUGCAGUACCUGAUUGCCACUGUGAUGCAGGAAAGAGUGAGAGCAACAGUUGCUCAGUCUCAGGAGGCUGUAGGGAUGCUCAGCUCUCUGGGUUCCAGACAAGCCCAAAGCCCCACUGGAGACCAAACUCUUGCCCAAGCUGUGCAACCCCAAGUUGAACCUCAACCUCCUUUUCUCCCUGAGGACCUCACUGAGCUUUGUACCCAUGAAGAGGCUCAGCACCCACCCAAGAUUAGCAUAACAGAAUAUAAAGAGCUCCAGCCUCUGGUGCAGGUUUAUAACAAUGCACAGGAUUUACCUCAUGCCAGAGACAAGGCUGUCUUCCAGUCCCAGCCUCACCUUGAUAGGCAGUCUGUUCACCAGCCCCCAGUUCAGGCCCAUGCUCAGACCAAAGGCUACAGUCAAACGUCAUCAGUACUCACUGAGCCUAAUCCCCACUCUCAACCUCUUAUACCUUCUCAAACUAAGGACCAGCGGCAGCCCCAAGCCCAAUCUCAGAUACAAGAUCAACCUAAAAAGGCAAGAGUCAGCACAAGACCAUGGGCAAAUAAAAAAUCCCAGGGCCAGGCCUCCUCUAAGCCUCAUUAUCAACCUGUACCCCAGACCCAAACUUCUAUUCAAGACAAGGCUCAGCCUAAGGCUCCAGCCAAGACUUACAGUGAAAACAAGGUUCAACCUAAGCCCCAACCUAAAGCUCAGCCACAAAUUAAUAAGCAUGCCAAGGUUCAGAUGCAAGCUGUCAUUAAGCCUAAAGAUGAAAACCAUCAGAAGGCCCAAUCCCAGCCACAAAUCUUGCCCCAGACUAGUGUAAGUAUUAAGGUUGAGCCCACAGGCUACAGCCAGAACUUGUACCAGUCACAGACUUAUAAACAGAUUCAAAGUCCAACCAUGAUCCAGGUCCAGCCCCCACUAUGGGUUAAUACGCAAAUUGAUGCACCCUCUCAAGUGUCUUCAAAGACCCAAGUUCAGCCGCAGGGUCAGGGUUACCCUUGUUCAGGGGCUCAGAGCCAGUCCCAAAUACAGUCUCCCUCUGGCACCCAUAGUACAACUGAAACAGGAGCAUCAUCUUUCUUAAAGACCAAACAUGAUCCUAAAGCUGAAUCUUUGCCACAGCCAUGGAUUCCAGCAAAGCCACAAGUUCAGUCCCAGGCCCAAUCUCAGGUCCAGACUCAACUAUUGGCCCAGCCUCUUAUGAUACCUCACACAAAGGUUCCUGUCCUUGCCCAGGCUCCGCUACAGGCCUAUACAGAGGCCUACGCCAAAGCACAGGCUCUUGCCAGGGACAGGUUUGAAGAAGCCAAACACUGUCUGCAAGACCACAUCCUAGAGACUAUCAUGGUGUUCAAUGACAGAGGUAUCUCUGAAGAGCAAGCCAAUAAAAAGGAGGAAGCACUUAGGACACUGGAUCCUGAGCUCCUGGAUGAGUUUCUGAGGGCAGCAGAGGGCAUGGAGGCCUUCUGUAGCCCAGCCCAACUUCGGGACAUGGAGUUCUUCACCCAGUCGGUCCGAACACAGUGGGAGGCAUGUUUCUCUGAGGAGGGCAGCCUGCUGCAGGCAGGACAUCACCUGGAAGCCCUGAGGGAGCUGUGUGACACGUUGAGCCCUGAGGACGCACACCGCCUUGCGCAGGCCCAGCUUCGUGAGUGCGAAAGAAGGCUGGCGGCCAUCCAGCGCCAGUUCAGCAGUGACAGGGACAUACCGCCUUCGGACCUUGGGUAUUGCCCAGAACACGCAGAAAACGAGAUGUAUCAGAAAGAGUCUGACCUCCUCAGUGGUCCUCCAUAUGGCACAGAGGUUACCUUCAUGGAGGCUGGCUUAGAGAAGUCUCAGCUGAACGAUCCAAUAACAACUAAGGACAUUUCCUCUAAAGAGGAAAUGCUAAAAAGCUACCAAGACUCCAGGACUGCCCUUCAAGCCAAGCUGGCCAGUAAUGAACAAUGCAUGCCUGUGCACCUUCCUUCAGACUCUGCCUCCUCUGCUGUUUUGCAUGUCAAGUUACAGGAGUUGCAGGUGUGUCUUUAACCCCAUCUACAGCUAUU
This 2476-nucleotide long non-coding RNA is filed under the name Scleropages formosus (Asian bonytongue). RNAcentral's name for it is "lncRNA (ENSSFOG00015029337.1)". Lineage: Eukaryota; Metazoa; Chordata; Actinopteri; Osteoglossiformes; Osteoglossidae. The record is from RNAcentral.